RNAcentral lists this ribosomal RNA (442 nucleotides) under uncultured prokaryote. Its description in RNAcentral is "bacterial SSU rRNA". It matches the Rfam family "Bacterial small subunit ribosomal RNA", at positions 355 to 796 of the family's 1533-position model. The record is from RNAcentral.
UGAGGAAUCUUGGGCAAUGGGGGAAGCCCUGACCCGGCCACGCCGCGUGCAGGAAGACACCCCUAUGGGGCGUAAACUGCUUUUGUGCGAGAAGAAGGCCCCGUUCGUCGGGGUUUGACGGUACCGCACGAAUAAGCACCGGCUAACUCCGUGCCAGCAGCCGCGGUAAUACGUAGGGGGCGAGCGUUGUCCGGAAUUAUUGGGCGUAAAGAGCGUGUAGGCGGCCUGGUAAGUCUGCCGUGAAAACCUGGGGCUCAACCCUGGGCGUGCGGUGGAUACUGCUAGGCUAGAGGAUGGUAGAGGCGAGUGGAAUUCCCGGUGUAGCGGUGAAAUGCGCAGAUAUCGGGAGGAACACCAGUAGCGAAGGCGGCUCGCUGGGCCAUUCCUGACGCUGAGACGCGAAAGCGUGGGGAGCAAACAGGAUUAGAUACCCCCGUAGUCC